AUGCCCACCCAUCACUUGGUCUCGUACCAUGAGCUUGUUCGAGCAACUGAUAAUUUUAGUGAGAGCAACCUGCUAGGGUCUGGAUGUUUUGGAAAAGUUUUCAAGGGCCAGCUAAGCAAUGGUUUGAUUGUUGCAAUCAAAGUUCUAGACAUGCAGUUAGAACAAGUGAUGAGAAGCUUUGAUAUAGAGUGUGGUGUACUACGGAUGGCACGACACGGCAAUCUAAUGAGGAUACUCAAUACCUGUUCCAACUUGGAAUUCAGGGCAUUGGUGCUUCAAUACAUGCCCAAUGGCAGCUUAGAAAUGCUGCUACACAACUCUCAAGGUACAACCGAAUUGGGAUUCAGUGAGAGACUAGGCAUCAUGCUCGAUGUGUCAUUGGCAAUGGAGUAUCUGCACCAUGAACACUAUGAGGUGGUCUUGCACUGCGACUUGAAGCCUAGCAAUGUAUUGUUCGAUGAGGACAUGACAGCACAUGUGGCAGACUUUGGCAUUGCAAGGUUGUUACUAGGUGAUGAUAGCUCUACGAUCACUGCGAGCAUGCCUGGAACUGUUGGCUACAUGGCACCAGGUACUAUUACUAUCUAG
RNAcentral lists this ribosomal RNA (588 nucleotides) under Triticum aestivum (bread wheat). Its description in RNAcentral is "partial small subunit ribosomal RNA". The record is from RNAcentral. Lineage: Eukaryota; Viridiplantae; Streptophyta; Magnoliopsida; Poales; Poaceae.